This 497-nucleotide ribosomal RNA is filed under the name uncultured bacterium. RNAcentral's name for it is "partial 16S ribosomal RNA". It matches the Rfam family "Bacterial small subunit ribosomal RNA", at positions 28 to 507 of the family's 1533-position model. The record is from RNAcentral.
GAUGAACGCUGGCGGCGUGCCUAAUACAUGCAAGUCGAGCGAACAGACCAGGAGCUUGCUCCUCUGACUUUAUCGGCGGACGGGUGAUUAACACGUGGUUAACCUACCUAUAAGACUGGGAUAACUUCGGGAGACCGUGGCUAAUACCGGAUAAUAUAUUGAACCUCAUGGUUCAAUAGUUAAAUACGGUUUUUCUUUCACUAAUAGAUUAAUCCGGGCCGCAUUAGCUAGUUGGUAAGGUAACUGCUUACCCAGGCAACGAUGCGUAGCCGACCUGAGAGGGUGGUCCGCCACACUGGAACUGAGACACGGUCCACACUCCUACGGGAGGCAGCAGCAGGGACUCUUCCGCGAGGGGCGAAUGCUUGACGGAGCAACGCCGCGGGAGUGAUGAAGGUCUUAGGCUCGUAAAACUAUGUUAUCCGGGAAGAACAAAUGUGUAAGUACCUAUGAACGUCUUGACGGUACCGAAUCAGAAAGCCACGGCUAACUACGUG